Molecule: ribosomal RNA, 466 nt
Filed under: uncultured bacterium
Lineage: Bacteria
Description: partial 16S ribosomal RNA
Rfam family: Bacterial small subunit ribosomal RNA
Source: RNAcentral
GACGAACGCUGGCGGCGUGCUUAACACAUGCAAGUCGAACGGUAAGGCUCCAGCUUGCUGGGGUACACGAGUGGCGAACGGGUGAGUAACACGUGGGUGACCUGCCCUGCACUUCGGGAUAAGCCUGGGAAACUGGGUCUAAUACCGGAUAGGACCAUGGUGUGGAUACUGUGGUGGAAAGUUUUUUCGGUGUGGGAUGGGCCCGCGGCCUAUCAGCUUGUUGGUGGGGUAAUGGCCUUCCAAGGCGGCGACGGGUAGCCGGCCUGAGAGGGUGGACGGCCACAUUGGGACUGAGACACGGCCCAGACUCCUACGGGAGGCAGCAGUGGGGAAUAUUGCACAAUGGGCGGAAGCCUGAUGCAGCGACGCCGCGUGGGGGAUGACGGCCUUCGGGUUGUAAACUCCUUUCACCAUCGACGAAGGGUUUCUGACGGUAGAUGGAGAAGAAGCACCGGCUAACUACGUG